Molecule: non-coding RNA, 150 nt
Organism: Avibacterium paragallinarum JF4211
Lineage: Bacteria; Pseudomonadati; Pseudomonadota; Gammaproteobacteria; Pasteurellales; Pasteurellaceae
Source: Rfam
ACACAUUCUCAGGGCAGGGCGAAAUUCCCUACCGGUGGUAAGUGAGUCAGUACUCAUCAGCCCACGAGCGUUUAUUCUUCGUGAAUAAAGUCAGCAGAUUUGGUGCAAAUCCAAAGCCGACAGUAAUAGUCUGGAUGAAAGAGAAUAGAC